RNAcentral lists this ribosomal RNA (479 nucleotides) under uncultured bacterium. RNAcentral describes it as "partial 16S ribosomal RNA". It matches the Rfam family "Bacterial small subunit ribosomal RNA", at positions 28 to 523 of the family's 1533-position model. The record is from RNAcentral.
GACGAACGCUGGCGGCGUGCUUAACACAUGCAAGUCGAACGGUAAGGCCCUUCGGGGUACACGAGUGGCGAACGGGUGAGUAACACGUGGGUGAUCUGCCCUGCACUUCGGGAUAAGCCUGGGAAACUGGGUCUAAUACCGGAUAGGACUCCUGGCUUCAUGGUUGGGGGUGGAAAGCUUUUGCGGUGUGGGAUGGGCCCGCCGGCCUAUCAGCUUGUUGGUGGGGUAAUGGCCUACCAAGGCGACGACGGGUAGCCGGCCUGAGAGGGUGACCGGUCACACUGGGACUGAGAUACGACCCAGAAUCCUACGGGAGGCAGCAGUGGGGAAUAUUGCCCAAUGGGAGCAAGCAUGAUGCGGCGACUCCGCGUGCGGGAUGACGGCCUUCGGGUUGUAAACCUCUUUCAGCUAUGACGAAGCGCAAGUGACGGUAGUAGCAGAAGAAGGACCGGCCAACUACGUGCCAGCCGCCGCCGUAA